GAUGAUUAAAGUCCUAGCUAGGAUUAAUAUUCUCGGUAUGCAUAUACACUGGAUAAUAAGCUACUAUCUAAGACAUGCAGUACUGAAAUUAAUAACCUGGUGGUAUGUGAUGGGGAUGCCUGGUAGGAUUGAUCAAAUUUUCAUACGUAGCCUAGUCGAGUCCUAGACGAGAAUCAAUUGCCAGUGGGUUUCAAGCCAUCUUCAAAAUUGAAACUGCCCUCUUCAACAUCCGCUUGCACAUAUGAUAGGCCGAAACCAUCACAAUGCCACCAAGAGGAGACUCACGAACAGACUUAUGAUAGGCCGAAACCAUCACAAUGCCACCAAGAGGAGACUCACGAACAGGGAGAACACCACCCAUCUGAUCUGGCUGCACCUG
This 379-nucleotide long non-coding RNA is filed under the name Capsicum annuum. RNAcentral describes it as "long non-coding RNA (CANN_LNC009065)". Lineage: Eukaryota; Viridiplantae; Streptophyta; Magnoliopsida; Solanales; Solanaceae. The record is from RNAcentral.